RNAcentral lists this ribosomal RNA (879 nucleotides) under uncultured eukaryote. Its description in RNAcentral is "SSU rRNA". It matches the Rfam family "Eukaryotic small subunit ribosomal RNA", at positions 572 to 1470 of the family's 1831-position model. The record is from RNAcentral.
AGCCGCGGUAAUUCCAGCUCCAAUAGCGUAUACUAAAGUUGUUGCGGUUAAAAAGCUCGUAGUUGGAUCUUGGAAUGUGUUCAAGCGGGUCAGCUUCUGGCUGUGCGCUGCUUGACGUGUUCUUCUAUUUGGUUUUGGUGCGGUGCGCUUAACUGCGUGUCGCUCCCGGCCGAAACGUUUACCUUGAAAAAAUUAGAGUGUUCAAAGCAGACCUGUUUGAGUCUGAAUAUUCGUGCAUGGAAUAAUGAAAUAUGAAUUCGGUUCUAUUUUGUUGGUUUUCGGAACUCGAGUUAAUGAUCAAGAGGGACAGACGGGGGCAUUCGUACUCUGCCGUUAGAGGUGAAAUUCUUGGAUCGGCGGAAGACGCGCAACUGCGAAAGCAUUUGCCAAGAAUGUUUUCUUUAAUCAAGAACGAUAGUCGGAGGUUCGAAGACGAUCAGAUACCGUCCUAGUUUCGACUGUAAACUAUGCCAGCUAACGAUCAGACAGAGUUCUCUACGACUUGUCUGGCAGUUUCCGGGAAACCAAAGCGUUUGGGUUCCGGGGGAAGUAUGGUUGCAAAGCUGAAACUUAAAGGAAUUGACGGAAGGGCACCACCAGGAGUGGAGCCUGCGGCUUAAUUUGACUCAACACGGGGAAACUCACCCGGCCCGGACACAGUGAGGAUUGACAGAUUGAGAGUUCUUUCUUGAUUCUGUGGGUGGUGGUGCAUGGCCGUUCUUAGUUGGUGGAGCGAUUUGUCUGGUUAAUUCCGAUAACGAACGAGACUCUGGCAUGUUAAAUAGUCGCGGAAGUGCGUAUGCACUUGCCGAAUUGACUUCUUAGAGGGACUAGUGAUUUUAAUUCACACGAGAUGGAGCAAUAACAGGUCUGUGAUGC